This 97-nucleotide transfer RNA is filed under the name Tissierellia bacterium. RNAcentral describes it as "tRNA-Sec". It matches the Rfam family "Selenocysteine transfer RNA". RNAcentral also lists the same sequence under 1 other name. Lineage: Bacteria; Bacillati; Bacillota; Tissierellia. The record is from RNAcentral.
GGGGGUAGAUGGGUGCUGGUGUGCCCCUUGGCCUUCAAAGCCAAUGUGAGGCGUUCGGAGCGUCUUGGGUGAGUUCGAUUCUCACAUACUCCCGCCA